GGGGUCUCCCCGGCCUCUGCAUCAGAAAGAUGCAUACAGCCAUCUUAUUAAUAAAGGUGUCCACAAGGUUCCAAAGUCUCGAGCCAAACAUCAAGCAAAAGAUAAAUGCAGCUCACCCAGAGCGACCGACGGCUAGAUACACAAGCUAGCCCAAAAAAAGAUGCCACAACCGGCUGGCUAAAAAUAGAUAGGGAAACUAAUUGCCUAUCCUAUUACAUGACCGCCAUCCAAACCGGUUGAAGAUAUCCCGAGCUACCAUCUCCCAGCGGAUAGAUCCAGUAACAAAAAAAAUAUAGUACUAAUACUAUUGUCAUGACAAAAAAAGAAAUGUAGUUGUUCACUCACUGAGAGAAAGUAGCUCGGAAGAUGGUAGUCUCUGAGGGCGACUCUAAGGGCGACCCGCUGGGCGCCCCGCGGGCAUCCGUGCCGCCUCCCCUCCCUCCACUUCUGUAGCCACCACCACCUCCCGGACCGCUGCUGAUGGCUCCGCCAUUGGCGGUGGACUUGUGCUGUCCCCUGCCGACGCCGACCCCCCUGCACCCGCACCAGCAUCGUUCCGCGACCAGGUAUCGCCUUCCACGCCCGUGUUCAGUCUUCCUUCCUUUCCGGGGUUUCCCCCGCUCUCCCCGGCGGAGUCCCGUCGGGGGUCCUCUGGGUGGUCGCGCCGUUCCCGUCNNNNNNNNNNAGGGGCGGCGCGUCACGGGACGGUGCACCGAAGCCUCCCCUUCCUCGCACACGUACACAUGGGCGCGGCCCGGCUAUAAAAGUCGGCGGCCUCCACUCGCCUGUGCCCACACCAGCCCCGCCCCUCGCCGCCGUCCAGCCCCUCCCUCUCCCUGCCUCUCCCGAGCGCCGCCGCCCAGCCCCUCCCUCUACCUCUCCCGAGCCCGCCCAACGCCGCCGUCGCCAUGGCGGAACGCUUCCCUGGAGACAAGGCGGCGGCCAACGGCUUCGGCCGUCGUUCGCUCCGCGAACAGGAGUCCUGGCUCCUGUUCCAGGCGAACAUCCCGGGGCCGCCGGACAUGCGCGCCGGGCCAACAGGGUGGAGGCUCAGCGCCGGGGGAGUGCCCAUUCCCCCGUUGCCCGACGCCGUGGCGAAGCCGAACUACUUCGCCGAGGAGGUCGAGAUCAUGCGCGCGUCCCUCACCGACGCCCAACUCUCCCUCCCCCAGUACGCCGCCGACAACCACGCGGCCUGGGCGGCGUAUUUCGAGCGCCGCCAGCAGCAGCGCUUGGCGUCCACCAACGGCGCGCCGGUGGUCGGCGGCCGGCAGAACAGCGAGGGGCGCCACCUCUGGUGGGGCGUCCCCGGCCGCACGCUCGAGGGCGCGCUCACGUACCUCGAGGGCGGCAACGACCCGCCGUUGGCGUACCCCCCGGCGAGGGUGGCCGCCUCGGCGCAGCACCGACGCGUUGGGCCAUGGGCGUCAAGGAGGUUCGGCGCCUCCUCUUCUUCCUCCUCAUCGCGUUCUUCUUCACACUCCUCCGGCUCUCCGUCGCUGCUCGGCGUCAAGGCCGAGCCCGCGGCGGAGACGCCGCUCGGGCGGCGCACUCGCAGCGUCGGCAUCGUCAUCAACGAGGGCGGCCGGCGCGCCUCCUCCUCGCCGGUUCCUCCGCGCUUCGUCAAGCCAAAAACGGAGUCGGGGCUGGCGCCGGUGAAGACGGAGCCGGGGCUGGCGCCGGUGAAGGCGGAGUUCGACGACGACGACGCGACCCUUGAAUGGGCGCGCCAGGACUCCAUUGCGAUGGAGAAGGCGCGCCGGCAGAAGGAGAAGGAGCGCCAGCGCGCCGCCCUACGCCGCUUCGAGGAGCGCCGACGCGGCCGCGAGGAAGGCGGGGUCGUCGUCUUAUGCGACAGCGACGACGACGACGACGCGCCGCCGCCUGUUCGCCAUGGCGACGCCGGGUAGGGGUCCAGCAGGGGCACCCGCGUCAAGGAGGAGAAGGCCGACGACGAUGAUGGCGGCAACGACUUCAGCCCCUUUCUUUUUUUUAGAUUAGGUUAAUGUAAUGUUUGGACGAAUUUCGCCGAAAUUUGCCAUGUUUGGCCGAAAUUUAACUAGUUUUUAUCAUAACUUUGCCGAACGUUCUUUUUUUUGUUUUUUAAUACGCACCUGAGGGCGGCCUUCGGGACCGACUCGCCCCAGGGUCAUUUUUUGCUCCGGCUCACCCUCAGACGGCGCUUUUAGACGCCCCCUAGGGGCCAACGGUUAGAGAUGCACUAAGUAGACUACUCCUGCAAAAGAGUCCGGUUGGUUCGAUUUCCUAGCGAUCCUCCAACUAUCACACAGACUAUUGUCCCUCUGCAUAAUAAAAUGUAAAUACCACUGCACCAGACGAUGUGAGACCAGCAUACGCGUGCAUGCAUGCAUACUGCUUCACAACGUGUUCUUGUUUUUUUUAGGGGACAACAACGCACAACGUGUUUUUUUAGGGGACAAGAACGCACAACGUGUGCGUUGAAGAAAUGCACGUACCCGGCCCCUUGCCAGUACGGUAUAUUGUAGUCGUACGAGUGUCUGAUUACUCUCAUCGACAGUUCGGUAGAAUUGCAGUACUGCCGUCCAUUUAUGUACGUACUGAAUGGACGUGUCAUCUAAUAUUUUAAUUCACUGGAGAUGUGUGAGUUAAGGAUGAAAGAGACAACCGAAGAAGACACCCUUUCGAAUCCAAGCUACACAAAGUGUAAAUGGCUAGGCUAGUCGAUACCUUACCAAUUUUGCUCUCAAGGUCCAAUUCAUCCCUAGCUAGCUACUACUCCCUCCGUUCCUUAUUAUAGUGCGUAUAACUUUUUUGCCAAAAUUCCAGAUUGUAGUACGCGUUUGCAAUUUUAGACCAAACUAACCUUCACUCAAAUCGCUGGAAGAGUUACUCCCACAGCAGCAUGCACAUGGGGUGGUGGGUCACAUGCGGUAAAGGAUGGGCUUUCUCGUCCAAAGUAUAAUGGCCAGCACAUUCGUUGGUAUGAGAGCCCCAGUCUAUACGCACUAUAAUAAGGAACAGAGGGAGUGUUAUUUUUGUGAUCCUUGUCUCCUCCUUCUUCUCUUGUUUAAUUUCUGGCUCCGCACCAAUCAGUAAUUCGGUAGUACUAAUACUAUUUUUUCCGAAAAGGGGGGUCUCCCCGGCCUCUGCAUCAGAAAGAUGCAUACAGCCAUCUUAUUAAUAAAGGUGUCCACAAGGUUCCAAAGUCUCGAGCCAAACAUCAAGCAAAAGAUAAAUGCAGCUCACCCAGAGCGACCGACGGCUAGAUACACAAGCUAGCCCAAAAAAAGAUGCCACAACCGGCUGGCUAAAAAUAGAUAGGGAAACUAAUUGCCUAUCCUAUUACAUGACCGCCAUCCAAACCGGUUGAAGAUAUCCCGAGCUACCAUCUCCCAGCGGAUAGAUCCAG
This 3391-nucleotide long non-coding RNA is filed under the name Triticum aestivum (bread wheat). RNAcentral's name for it is "long non-coding RNA (TAES_LNC021601)". Lineage: Eukaryota; Viridiplantae; Streptophyta; Magnoliopsida; Poales; Poaceae. The record is from RNAcentral.